UGGGGAAUAUUGCACAAUGGAGGGAACUCUGAUGCAGCGACGCCGCGUGAGUGAUGAAGGAAUUCGUUUCGUAAAACUCUGUUCUAUGGGAAGAAAAGGACUGUACCAUAGGAGAAAGCUCCGGCUAAAUACGUGCCAGCAGCCGCGGUAAUACGUAUGGAGCGAGCGUUGUCCGGAAUUAUUGGGCGUAAAGGGUGCGCAGGCGGCUUUACAAGUUGGAUGUGAAAUAUUGUGGCUCAACCACAAACGUGCAUCCAAAACUGCAAAGCUUGAGUUAAGGAGAGGUAAGUGGAAUUCCUGGUGUAGCGGUGGAAUGCGUAGAUAUCAGGAGGAAUACCGGUGGCGAAGGCGACUUACUGGACUUAAACUGACGCUCAGGCACGAAAUCGUGGGGAGCAAACAGG
RNAcentral lists this ribosomal RNA (404 nucleotides) under Fusobacteriota bacterium. RNAcentral's name for it is "Fusobacteria bacterium partial 16S ribosomal RNA". It matches the Rfam family "Bacterial small subunit ribosomal RNA", at positions 355 to 776 of the family's 1533-position model. The record is from RNAcentral. Lineage: Bacteria; Fusobacteriati; Fusobacteriota.